RNAcentral lists this ribosomal RNA (253 nucleotides) under uncultured bacterium. Its description in RNAcentral is "partial 16S ribosomal RNA". It matches the Rfam family "Bacterial small subunit ribosomal RNA", at positions 524 to 776 of the family's 1533-position model. The record is from RNAcentral.
UACGUAGGGUGCGAGCGUUAAUCGGAAUUACUGGGCGUAAAGCGUGCGCAGGCGGUUCGUUGUGUCGGCGGUGAAAGCCCCGGGCUCAACCUGGGAAUGGCCGUUGAAACUGGCGAACUGGAGUGUGGCAGAGGGGGGUGGAAUUCCGCGUGUAGCAGUGAAAUGCGCAGAUAUCAGGAGGAACACCGAUGGCGAAGGCAGGUCUCUGGGCUGUAACUGACGCUGAGGAGCGAAAGCAUGGGGAGCGAACAGG